GAUUGCAGGCUGCAACUCGCCUGCAUGAAGCCGGAAUCGCUAGUAAUCGCGGAUCAGCUCGCCGCGGUGAAUACGUUCCCGGGCCUUGUACACACCGCCCGUCACACCACGAGAGUUUGUAACACCCGAAGUCGGUGAGGUAACCUUUUUGGAGCCAGCCGCCUAAGGUGGGAUAGAUGAUUGGGGUGAAGUCGUAUCAUGGUAACCG
RNAcentral lists this ribosomal RNA (208 nucleotides) under uncultured bacterium. RNAcentral's name for it is "partial 16S ribosomal RNA". It matches the Rfam family "Bacterial small subunit ribosomal RNA", at positions 1296 to 1502 of the family's 1533-position model. The record is from RNAcentral.